Molecule: ribosomal RNA, 511 nt
Filed under: Debaryomyces hansenii
Lineage: Eukaryota; Fungi; Ascomycota; Pichiomycetes; Serinales; Debaryomycetaceae
Description: LSU rRNA
Rfam family: Eukaryotic large subunit ribosomal RNA
Source: RNAcentral
UAACGGCGAGUGAAGCGGCAAAAGCUCAAAUUUGAAAUCUGGCACCUUCGGUGUCCGAGUUGUAAUUUGAAGAAGGUAACUUUGGAGUUGGCUCUUGUCUAUGUUCCUUGGAACAGGACGUCACAGAGGGUGAGAAUCCCGUGCGAUGAGAUGCCCAAUUCUAUGUAAAGUGCUUUCGAAGAGUCGAGUUGUUUGGGAAUGCAGCUCUAAGUGGGUGGUAAAUUCCAUCUAAAGCUAAAUAUUGGCGAGAGACCGAUAGCGAACAAGUACAGUGAUGGAAAGAUGAAAAGAACUUUGAAAAGAGAGUGAAAAAGUACGUGAAAUUGUUGAAAGGGAAGGGCUUGAGAUCAGACUUGGUAUUUUGCGAUCCUUUCCUUCUUGGUUGGGUUCCUCGCAGCUUACUGGGCCAGCAUCGGUUUGGAUGGUAGGAUAAUGACUAAGGAAUGUGGCUCUACUUCGGUGGAGUGUUAUAGCCUUGGUUGAUACUGCCUGUCUAGACCGAGGACUGCGU